This 682-nucleotide ribosomal RNA is filed under the name Orcula fuchsi. RNAcentral describes it as "partial 12S ribosomal RNA". The record is from RNAcentral. Lineage: Eukaryota; Metazoa; Mollusca; Gastropoda; Stylommatophora; Orculidae.
CCAAAAACGGAGUAAUAUCCUUUUUAGAAAAGUUCCUACUAAACUUGAUAGGUGAAUUUAUUAUAUGUUUCUAAGGAUUUAUGGAAAUUUAAGUGAGCCCAGUCUAAAACAUUAAAAAAUUAUAUAACUAUAAAUUUAGUAAAACUUAAAUGUUAGGGUAAACAUCGGUGCCAGCAACCGCGGUCAAACCUCGCUAACAGGUAACUUAGGGAAAAUUUUAUCUACACAUAAGUUUUCUACGACGCGGCUAACAGUGAAAUGCAGCCACACUUAAAAUUUAACAAAUUUUUUUUGCUUAAGAAAAAUAAGUUAAAAAACUAGGAUUAGAUACCCUAUUAUUCUUAUAUUAAAAGGUAAAUUUGAGGAGUAGAACUACUAUAAACUCAAAAGUCAUGGCGGCUGUUGAAACUAAUCAGGGGAGCUUACCAAGUAAUUGACAACCACCAAGAAAUCUUUUCUUUAAUUUAAAGUUUGUAUGCCGUCGUCAAAAAUUUUUCUAAGGAAAAAUUUUUCUUUAAAAUAGUUUUACUAAAGACAGAUCAAGGUGCAACUAAUACUAAUGAUUAGGCGAGCUACAAUAAUGUUAUAUUACCGGAUGCAGACUUUAAAAAGCUAGCUAAAGUUGGACUUGAAAGUAAUCUUUAAAUAAAAAUUAAGUACUGAAUACUAUAUUUAACAGUGC